CCAAUCAAAAUUACUCCAAGAGCAUAUAAACAACUCAUCAAGGAGGUCAGAAAAGAACCCAGAAAAGCCUCUAAAGCACUACAGACAUCGUCUGACCCAGAUAAAGGGUAACUCACCCCCGAAUUUUGCUAAUAAACUGUCGUCUUUUAGUUUCGUCUACGUAUCCUAGACAUUAUUUUUGACAAUUAAUUUACCGCACAUUUGUUGAAAUCCUGCAGUACAUUUUUCAACUGUGAGAUUGGGCGGAGUAAAGCCCGGUUUAUGCUUGAUGCAUCCGUGAGGUCCGCAUGCUAUAUUUUGCCAUUUUAGCAAUCAUGCCCCUCCACAAAGCCAAAAGUUUUCACUCCGUGCACCUGGGAAAAUUCCUGUGUACUGUGUGGACAGUCCAGUGCAGAAAAAAAAAUGGCGGACGGGCAUGUCCUUCUGUCGAAGGUUUGUGAAUAUAGACAUCUUCAUGAUUUGGCCCACGAAGAUCGCUGUGAUCAAAACAUUGCCGGACAGAAAUCACCGUCACUCUUGGAAAAAAGUAAGAUGCUUUAAAAUGUUGGAAACAGCUGUGACGUAGGAGCACAACACUGCCCUCUAGAGUCUAGGAGAAUAGUGCUACUUUGGAGGCAAACAAUGUGUCCGUACGUCUCUUUUGACGUACUUGCUGGAUGAGUUACACUUUAAUGUUGGCGUUUCCGAUUCAACAAAAAGAAAGACUUCGCAAAAAUAUCAUCCUGGGAGGAGUACCAAGGUGAAAAUCACUAUAGAACAAAAGAGUCCAAAUUCAUCUUGUUCAGGUGCAAGACUUUUGGGAAAAUAUUCUAUGGGAUCAUGUGAC
Molecule: long non-coding RNA, 826 nt
Organism: Fundulus heteroclitus (mummichog)
Lineage: Eukaryota; Metazoa; Chordata; Actinopteri; Cyprinodontiformes; Fundulidae
Exons: 3
Source: RefSeq, a predicted model, not a curated record